AUGUCUCUGCCUUCAAUGGUUUGGUUCAUGGGUGGUAUGGGGUUCCGCGAUAUUGAGCUAUUUAAUUUAGCGCUUCUGGCUCGCCAGGCAUGGCGCCUUUUGCAAGAACCCAACUCUCUUAGUGCGCGGAUUUUGAAGGCUGUGUACUACCCUACUUAUUCAGUUUUGCAAGCAGAAUUGGGAAACUACCCAUCGCAAGUGUGGCGGUCUGUUAUUGAAGGCAGAGACAUGCUCAAGCUUGGUCUUAUAAAGCGUAUUGGCGCAGGUGAAGAUACGGACAUCUGGUCUUAUGAAGCUGGUUUUCGUUCACCUUUCUUGGAGCCCCACCAAAACUUGUGA
This 339-nucleotide ribosomal RNA is filed under the name Triticum aestivum (bread wheat). RNAcentral describes it as "partial small subunit ribosomal RNA". Lineage: Eukaryota; Viridiplantae; Streptophyta; Magnoliopsida; Poales; Poaceae. The record is from RNAcentral.